Molecule: transfer RNA, 77 nt
Filed under: Candidatus Rokubacteria bacterium 13_1_40CM_4_69_5
Lineage: Bacteria; Candidatus Rokuibacteriota
Also listed under: 9 other names
Description: tRNA-Pro
Rfam family: tRNA
About the family: Transfer RNA (tRNA) molecules are approximately 80 nucleotides in length. Their secondary structure includes four short double-helical elements and three loops (D, anti-codon, and T loops).
Source: RNAcentral
CGGGGUGUGGCGCAGCCUGGUAGCGCACCUGCUUUGGGAGCAGGGGGUCGGAGGUUCAAAUCCUCUCACCCCGACCA